GACGAACGCUGGCGGCGUGCUUAACACAUGCAAGUCGAGCGGUAAGGCCCUUUCGGGGGUACACAAGCGGCGAACGGGUGAGUAACACGUGGGUGACCUGCCCUCAGCUCUGGGAUAAGCCUGGGAAACCGGGUCUAAUACUGGAUAUGACUCCAUGACGCAUGUUGUGGGGUGGAAAGCCUUGUGCGGCUGAGGAUGGGCCCGCGGCCUAUCAGCUUGUUGGUGGGGUGANGGCCUACCAAGGCGACGACGGGUAGCCGGCCUGAGAGGGCGACCGGCCACACUGGGACUGAGACACGGCCCAGACUCCUACGGGAGGCAGCAGUGGGGAAUCUUGCGCAAUGGGCGAAAGCCUGACGCAGCGACG
Molecule: ribosomal RNA, 367 nt
Filed under: uncultured bacterium
Lineage: Bacteria
Description: bacterial SSU rRNA
Rfam family: Bacterial small subunit ribosomal RNA
Source: RNAcentral